CUUCACUAAUCGCCAGCGAACAAGAAUGCAAAACAACAAAACAACGAAAUGAUGUGAGUGCAGACCAUGAUUCACUUAACUUGGUAAAUGUAGUGACGUGAAUUGUUGCUAUUAAAGCAGUAGUGUACCGUGUGUGAGUGUGAUAUGAAUUGUGUGUUUUGCAUUUACAGCAAGUAGCCGGCAUGACCUGUAAAAUACAGAUAUACUUAAAUUGACCAUAAAUGAUGGGGGAGGCUGCAGCUACGAACAACAACCUGUUGGAUACCUGUGCAUCACCAUGUUGGAAGGCCGCGACCCUUGAGGCCUCGCAUUGGUGGUGGCAGGUUGUUCCAACAGUGAGUCGCAGCAUAUUUGAAGCUCCCCCUGAAGGCCGCUGUUCUGUGCUGAGGGAUGGAUAGUGGAUUUGUAGUUGAGCGUAUGUGGUUUAUUGAACUAUGCUGUCUCCACUGUAAUUUCUCAUACAGGUACCGUGGCUUUUGGGUAGUAAUAACUCCAAACAAUAGGCCUGCCAGGUGCAAACGUCUCCGAGCUUCCAUUUUUAAAAUAUUGUUUCGAUUCGCAAAAGGGGUGACAUGGCUUCUUCGUGGUAUGUCCACACAGUAUCUUAUGCAAGCAUUUUGAACACGCUGCACCAAUCUGUUUGUUUUUGCUAGCAA
Spodoptera litura is the source of this 656-nucleotide long non-coding RNA. RefSeq lists it as uncharacterized. NCBI's taxonomy places the organism in Eukaryota, Metazoa, Arthropoda, Insecta, Lepidoptera, Noctuidae. The record is from RefSeq and is a predicted model, not a curated record.